RNAcentral lists this ribosomal RNA (516 nucleotides) under uncultured bacterium. Its description in RNAcentral is "partial 16S ribosomal RNA". It matches the Rfam family "Bacterial small subunit ribosomal RNA", at positions 28 to 523 of the family's 1533-position model. The record is from RNAcentral.
GACGAACGCUGGCGGCGUGCCUAAUACAUGCAAGUCGAGCGAAUCUCUGAAGGAGCUUGCUCCUGAUGAGGUUAGCGGCGGACGGGUGAGUAACACGUAGGCAACCUGCCUGCAAGCCUGGGAUAACAUCCGGAAACGGAUGCUAAGACCGGAUACGCAGCUUGGUCGCAUGACCGAGCUGGGAAAGACGGAGCAAUCUGUCGCUUGCGGCUGGGCCUGCGGCGCAUUAGCUAGGUGGUGAGGUAACGGCCCACCAAGGCGACGAUGCGUAGCCGACCUGAGAGGGUGAACGGCCACACUGGGACUGAGACACGGCCCAGACUCCUACGGGAGGCAGCAGUAGGGAAUCUUCCACAAUGGACGCAAGUCUGAUGGAGCAACGCCGCGUGAGUGAGGAAGGCCUUCGGGUCGUAAAGCUCUGUUGCCAGGGAAGAACGCCUAAGAGAGUAACUGCUCUUAGGGUGACGGUACCUGAGAAGAAAGCCCCGGCUAACUACGUGCCAGCCGCCGCGGUAA